CCUGAUGCAGCGACGCCGCGUGAGUGAAGAAGUAUUUCGGUAUGUAAAGCUCUAUCAGCAGGGAAGAUAAUGACAGUACCUGACUAAGAAGCCCCGGCUAACUACGUGCCAGCAGCCGCGGUAAUACGUAGGGGGCAAGCGUUAUCCGGAUUUACUGGGUGUAAAGGGAGCGUAGACGGAGUGGCAAGUCUGAAGUGAAAACCCUGGGCUUAACCUGGGGACUGCUUUGGAAACUGUUAAUCUAGAGUGUUGGAGAGGUAAGUGGAAUUCCUGGUGUAGCGGUGAAAUGCGUAGAUAUCAGGAAGAACACCGGAGGCGAAGGCGGCUUACUGGACAAUAACUGACGUUGAGGCUCGAAAGCGUGGGGAUCAAACAGGAUUAGAUACCCUGGUAGUCCACGCUGUAAACGAUGAAUACUACGUGUCGGGGAGCAAAGCUUCUCGGUGCCGUCGCUAACGCAAUAAGUAUUCCACCUGGGGAGUACGUUCGCAAGAAUGAAACUCAAAGGAAUUGACGGGGACCCGCACAAGCGGUGGAGCAUGUGGUUUAAUUCGAAGGCAACGCGAAGAACCU
Molecule: ribosomal RNA, 573 nt
Filed under: Oribacterium sp. oral taxon 108
Lineage: Bacteria; Bacillati; Bacillota; Clostridia; Lachnospirales; Lachnospiraceae
Description: bacterial SSU rRNA
Rfam family: Bacterial small subunit ribosomal RNA
Source: RNAcentral